UAGUAACGGCGAGUGAAGCGGGAUGAGCUCAAAUUUAAAAUCUGGCUGGUUUACUAGUCCGAAUUGUAKUUUAUAGAARCGUUUUCGGUGGCAGCCUGGGUAUAAGUCCUUUGGAAUAGGGUAUCAUAGAGGGUGAGAAUCCCGUCUUUGACUCAKKGCAUGCUACUAUGUGAUACGUUUUCAAARAGUCRAGUUGUUUGGRAAUGCAGCUCAAAAUGGGUGGUAAAUUUCAUCUAAAGCUAAWUAUUGGCGAGAGACCGAUAGCGAACAAGUACCGUGAGGGAAAGAUGAAAAGAACUUUGAAAAGAGAGUUAAACAGUGCGUGAAAUUGUUGAAAGGGAAACGCUUGACACCAGUUAUGCGGGUGGAAAAUCASUCUUUUGCAAUGGGGAGUUGUGGGCGUUCASACCGCAAGGCUGGCGUUUGCUUCAUCUUUGUUGUAAGUGAUGCRCUUUUUCAUUUGCAGGUCAACAUCASUUUGCUUUGCUGGACAAAACUCCAAGGGAAGGUGGCAGCUUAGGCUGUGUUAUAGCCCUGGAGCGAUACARUGRAGUGGACUGAGGUUUCGCAGUGUGUGCUUUUAKCAAGGCUGACUGGGUGCUAUGGGAUCSUUCGGCGWACAAUGCAUGCAUUUUGCKUCGWGYCUUUUUCAUACUCGCUCAACUCGGCUCUUCCACGCUUAGRAKGUUGACUUAAUGRUUUUAAUCGACCCGWCUUGAAACACGGACCAAGGAGUCUAACAUAUAUGCAAGUGUUUGGGUGGCAAACCCAUGCGCGUAAUGAAAGUGAACGUAGGUGCGAUCCGCAAGGUGCAGCAUCGACCGAUCUUGAUAUUUUUGGAUAGAUUUGAGUAAGAGCAUAUAUGCUGGGGACCCGAAAGAUGGUGAACUAUGCCUGAAUAGGGUGAAGCCAGAGGAAACUCUGGUGGAGGCUCGUAGCGAUUCUGACGUGCAAAUCGAUCGUCAAAUUUGGGUAUAGGGGCGAAAGACUAAUCGAA
This 997-nucleotide ribosomal RNA is filed under the name Mortierellales sp. RNAcentral describes it as "partial large subunit ribosomal RNA". Lineage: Eukaryota; Fungi; Mortierellomycota. The record is from RNAcentral.